GAGAGAUGAUGAAUGCACAUUGGUCCGUGUUUCUGAAAAUUUGUGAUUGAUAAUAUCUGUGUUAUGCUGUCUGAUCUC
Molecule: small nucleolar RNA, 78 nt
Filed under: Ipomoea nil (Japanese morning glory)
Lineage: Eukaryota; Viridiplantae; Streptophyta; Magnoliopsida; Solanales; Convolvulaceae
Description: Small nucleolar RNA SNORD18
Rfam family: Small nucleolar RNA SNORD18
About the family: U18 is a member of the C/D class of snoRNA which contain the C (UGAUGA) and D (CUGA) box motifs. It is encoded in introns of ribosomal protein L1 in Xenopus and human, and in introns of elongation factor 1 beta in yeast.
Source: Rfam by way of RNAcentral